Molecule: long non-coding RNA, 1188 nt
Organism: Homo sapiens (human)
Lineage: Eukaryota; Metazoa; Chordata; Mammalia; Primates; Hominidae
Source: Ensembl
GGGGAGGGUAGCGGUUACGCUGAGCGCCGGCGUUGCUGGUCCCCGACCCCUGGUACCCGGGCAUCGUUUUUUCAUCCCGGGCAGCUGGGACCCCGGGAUGACCUAAGGAACAAGGAUUCAGACGCAGACUCCACGGUGAAUUGGCCUUAUUCACGUGUGAACGAACGUCCAGGAGAAAACCAAACCCGAAUGGGCCAGGCUCUAACCAGAGGAGACCCCAAAACUGUGAUCUGCAUCAGAAAACGAACCAGCCAGCCGGUUCCCGGCUCUGCCAGGUCUAGGGGUGCUUUAUUCAAGCCCUGGGUUCGCUCCCUGGUCAGCAAGUAUGAGCCCACAGGUCGUGCUAGGAAGGAGACGGGACCAGAUAUUGACUGCUGGUUUAAAGUAUAUGCUAAUCCUACAGUCAUUCACUCAGCAACUCCUGAUGGCACCUGUUUUGCACCAGGCGCUGAGCUGAACCCUGGAAGCAGGAAGGAUUGCCAGAUAGUUGGGUGGCUGGGUUACCAUCAGGGAAAGAAUCCUGACUACUACAUUGAAGAUGGAAGCUCUUUAUACACUCAGAACCAUCAUGGACUGGGUAAGGGGGAGGCAGAGAAGAAAACAGAAUUGAAUAUUUCUAGAUCACGUAUUAUUGUGUGCUGUAGAAUAGAGCACAUAUUAAUGUAGGUUAAUUCAUUUAAUCCUCAAAAUGACUUUACUCAGCUAAAUUGAGGAACUUGCUAAGUGCCAUACAAUUAGUAAAUGGCAGAGUUAAGUUCAAACCAAGGACACUCUGCCUGCAAAGAUAUACUUGCUCUGCUCUGAUGUGCUGCCAUUAUCAUCAUCAUCUCCAUCAUCUGCCUCCUCACUGUUACCAUCACCAUCAUCUUCAGGAUGCUCCCUGAGGAUCUGGACCAUAGCGGUAGGAAGCUGAGCUUUCUAACUCAGAAAACAGACCUUCAAACAUAUAAGUAAAUGAGUGUGCAAAUAACUAUAGCAAGAAGUACAAAGUGAUCAGUACCACCAAAGAGGAGCAGAUAUCAUGUUGAGAAAGAUUACUUCCAUCUGAGGUAGACCUCUAGAAAUGGCUGAAGGAAAUCCAAAGACAGGAAGGAGUCUCAACAGAGGCAUUAGGGAUAGGAAUGUCAGAUCAUAAAAGAUUCAGUUUGCACAUUUACAACCUAAACUAAUAUAGUUCUGGUGCCCCAA